CGUUCUAUGGCCGAACUGGUGUAGGCAUCACCGCUUACAGGCCAAGAUACGGGUUCGAGUCCCGCUGGAAUGG
This 73-nucleotide transfer RNA is filed under the name Operophtera brumata (winter moth). It matches the Rfam family "tRNA". Rfam says of the family: Transfer RNA (tRNA) molecules are approximately 80 nucleotides in length. Their secondary structure includes four short double-helical elements and three loops (D, anti-codon, and T loops). Lineage: Eukaryota; Metazoa; Arthropoda; Insecta; Lepidoptera; Geometridae. The record is from Rfam by way of RNAcentral.